UUCUCAAUUUGCGUACUUGUGCGUGCUCGUGUGCUCGUGGACUCGUGAAACGUCAUCAGUCGUUGCCCGAUCACUGUUCCAAUUCGAAGUACGCAUCAAGCGAGUACUGUCGUAAAACCCGGAAGUGUUCUUGAUGCGUGCUCGAUCUCGCCGUUUCACCGAGCAUGCAUCGGAGGUGGCUCGUGUGUACUUGCAACCGCUAUAAAUCCCAGGAUGCAUUUCGCACUCGCAGCAGUACGAUGGCGGACAAUAUGGAGAAGACGCACAACUGGACAAUUGAAGAAACAAGGGCCCUCAUCGAGUGGCGGGCGGCAAAUGAAGCUCGGUUCACUGGCCUCCGCAACUCCUCUGCUACGGGAUGGGAGGACUUCAUUUCCACUUCUGGCCUGGAUAUUUCCACCAAACAGGCCAUGAAGAAGUGGAACAAUCUGAAGCUCAAGUACACAGUAAGUAUACGUUGCCUGUUUAUCUGCUUUGUAUUAUAUACUGAUUAUAUUAUAUAUACUGAGCAUUCCAGCGAUUCGUUCAUAUGAAAAUUAACCUACACACAAUACCAUUUCA
Long non-coding RNA from Gadus chalcogrammus (walleye pollock), 561 nucleotides. RefSeq lists it as uncharacterized. The record is from RefSeq and is a predicted model, not a curated record. The transcript has 3 exons. NCBI's taxonomy places the organism in Eukaryota, Metazoa, Chordata, Actinopteri, Gadiformes, Gadidae.